RNAcentral lists this long non-coding RNA (1077 nucleotides) under Olea europaea subsp. europaea. The record is from RNAcentral. Lineage: Eukaryota; Viridiplantae; Streptophyta; Magnoliopsida; Lamiales; Oleaceae.
UCGAGAGUAAAACAAGCCACAAAUCUCAUACAAAUAUUGCGCCUAUAAUUGUAGAGAAAAUAAAAUUCAUGCCAAUCAUUCAAUAAUUAAAAACAUGUUUUAAUGUCAAAUAAAUAAAAUUCAAAAUUAAGGGUUCAUAAUAUAAGGUUCAUCGCAAAUCCUAGCACGAAAAGAUCUAGCCUAACAUAACGACAAAAUUAAAUAAAUAAAAGUGGAACGACAUCACCAAUAAUUGACGAAACGUGAUCGACAUCCAAAUUCCUUCCAAAAGUAAUUUGAAAUUAUCCCUCAACGGCUUGUUGUCCGUCUCUGUCUCUGCCGUCUGCAUGUAUAUAUUUCUCUAUUUUUCUCCAACAGCCGCCCACUUUUAUUGCCAAUGAAAGAGUCCAAUUCCAGCCUUCUUUCUGUUCCUUUUAAUUCCUUCAGCUGCUUCAACUUUCGUGGGAAUUAUAUAUGUAAUUCAGCUUGCAGCCAACCAAUUAAUUCCACACAGCUAGCCGUCUUUAUCAAUUCAGCAACUUAAUUCCCCAGCUAUUUCAAUCUGCCGCUUUCUGUGCAUCCAAUAAUAUAAAUUCAGCCCCCGGCACUCCCUUCAACCUGCCGUUUUCUUUUGUAUUUAAUUUAUUCAACUCAGCCGGCUUCCUCUCAAUUUGCCGCCGACUUGAAUAAUCCCAAAAGGGAUUCUAAUUUCAUCCCACGGCUGCCUCCUCCUCGCCGUUUUCUGUCUAUGCGUUUAUGAAUUUUGUCUACUCCCUGCCUGCUUUUCUCUGCUGCAAGUGUACAUAUAAAUUAGAAGCCCAAGUCCAAUAAGUUUUGUGUACUCAAUUCUUUUGUGUAAUGCAAGUUAGUCCUUCUCUUCAUUUUCUCCUCAAUUUUGAUCCUCCAUCUUUUAUUCCGCGAGAUUUUGUCCACAAACUCAAUGUAAUAGCCAAUUGAUUAUUUUCUUUUCCAAUUGCUUCAAAACGGGUCCAUAACUAAAAACAAAAGAAAAUUAACACAAGUUAGGUAAAAAUUGAUAAUUUGACGACAUAAAAAUCUAAUUAUGUAGUCCGAAUAAGUGCAUAAAAUGCACUUAUC